UACGGGGGGAGCAAGCGUUGUUCGGAAUCAUUGGGCGUAAAGGGAGUGUAGGCGGUUCGGUAAGGGGGAUGUGAAAUGCCCCGGCUCACCCGGGGACCUGCAUCCCAAACUGCUGAGCUUGAGUACAGGAGAGGGUGGGGGAAUUCCAGGUGUAGCGGUGAAAUGCGUAGAUAUCUGGAGGAACACCGGUGGCGAAGGCGCCCACCUGGCCUGCUACUGACGCUGAGGCUCGAAAGCUAGGGGAGCAAACGGG
This 253-nucleotide ribosomal RNA is filed under the name uncultured bacterium. RNAcentral describes it as "partial 16S ribosomal RNA". It matches the Rfam family "Bacterial small subunit ribosomal RNA", at positions 524 to 776 of the family's 1533-position model. The record is from RNAcentral.